AUAUUUUAUUGGUUUGCCCAAAUAGCCCUUCCCAAAGGGCUGACAUGGAAGUUAAAUAUACUACUAACUUGAUAAUUACUCACAUUCUUUACCUUGUUGACAUUUAAAAGAAUUGAAACUCUAACCCACAUCAAUAGAUUUCACCUUCUACUUCACGUAGGUAUCUUAUUUUAUCUUCUUCAUGCAGCUAUCUUCUUCAUCGAUCGGCUUCAAUGUCUUCUUCAUCAGCUUCAUCAUUAUGUGCGGAACAACUUGGAAUAUGAACCAUCUUUGUACUGUAGUUGUGGGUUGAAAGCCCCACUUUGCUCAACUCGAGAUUCAGGGAGAAAAUUUUAUGGGUGUCAAAGAUGGAAGGAGGGUCGUGGGUGUGGUUUUUUUGUUUGGAAAGAACAAAUUUCACUUACACGAGAAGAAACUGAGAGCGAUGCAACGACACCUACUGCUUCUAAAAUGGAGGAAAUGAAGAAGUUGAUUACAACAAUGAGAUGUGAAAUGAUCAGCGAGAUACACGAUGUACGGGAUUUAAUUGAAAUUGAAGUGAAGGAGAAGAAAAUGCUUAAAAGAAAGUGUGUAUUCUUUAUAGUUGUAAUUGUUGCUAUGGUGAAGUUUAUGUUGUAAUAUGGCUCAAUUAUUGAAUGCCUUUUGUAUUUACACCAUAUCAUCACUUUUGUGUA
Long non-coding RNA from Ipomoea nil (Japanese morning glory), 674 nucleotides. RefSeq lists it as uncharacterized. NCBI's taxonomy places the organism in Eukaryota, Viridiplantae, Streptophyta, Magnoliopsida, Solanales, Convolvulaceae. The transcript is spliced from 2 exons. The record is from RefSeq and is a predicted model, not a curated record.